UCGAGGGGCAGCGGGUAGAUGAGCUUGCUCAUUUAUGCCGGCGACCGACUCACGGGUGAGUAACACGUAUGCAACCUGCCCGUCUCAGGGGGAUAAUCGUCGGAAACGGCGUCUAAUACCCCGUAUGAAGCUGGACGGCAUCGUCUGGUUUUGAAAGAAUAUCGGAGGCGGAUGGGCAUGCGGCGCAUUAGCUGGUUGGCGGGGUAACGGCCCACCAAGGCGACGAUGCGUAGGGGUUCUGAGAGGAAGGUCCCCCACACUGGUACUGAGACACGGACCAGACUCCUACGGGAGGCGGCAGUGAGGAAUAUUGGUCAAUGGGCGAGAGCCUGAACCAGCCAAGUCGCGUGAGGGAGUACUGCCCUAUGGGUUGUAAACCUCUUUUGUCGGGGAGCAAAAGCCGGACGUGUCCGGCUGUGAGAGUACCCGAAGAAAAAGCAUCGGCUAACUCCGUGCCAGCAGCCGCGGUAAUACGGAGGAUGCGAGCGUUAUCCGGAUUUAUUGGGUUUAAAGGGUGCGCAGGCGGAUUUUUAAGUCAGCGGUCAAAUCGUGGGGCUCAACCCCAUCCAGCCGUUGAAACUGGGGAUCUAGAGUGUGCGAGAGGUAUGCGGAAUGCGUGGUGUAGCGGUGAAAUGCAUAGAUAACACGCAGAACCCCGAUUGCGAAGGCAGCAUACCGGUGCACAACUGACGCUCAGGCACGAAAGCGUGGGUAUCGAACAGGAUUAGAUACCCUGGUAGUCCACGCAGUAAACGAUGAAUGCUACCUGUUUGGCCUGAUUGAAGGCUGAGCGGGACAGCGAAAGCGU
Molecule: ribosomal RNA, 808 nt
Filed under: uncultured bacterium
Lineage: Bacteria
Description: bacterial SSU rRNA
Rfam family: Bacterial small subunit ribosomal RNA
Source: RNAcentral